Trachemys scripta elegans is the source of this 4703-nucleotide long non-coding RNA. RefSeq lists it as uncharacterized. The record is from RefSeq and is a predicted model, not a curated record. The transcript has 3 exons. NCBI's taxonomy places the organism in Eukaryota, Metazoa, Chordata, Testudines, Emydidae.
AAAAGUUAAACACCUUGGUGCCUUGAGCCUCUUGGCCUCUGAUUCCCAGUUCCUGUGCUUGUAGCUUUAAGACAUGUUUGUCCUUUUCCCACCUGUACUGUGGGGCCUGGUGGCUCCCUGUGGCCCUAUGGGCCUUGAGGCAAGCAGAGACCAGCCAUAGUGAAGGGCAUACUGGCCACAUCCCCAAUCCACCCCCUCCCAGGUGUAACCCGCACCCACUUAGGGUGGUGGUCUGUCUUCUGCUAGUGAUGGACGGGCCACGGGCAAGUUGACAAACCUAUUACAGCCUCAGCUAACUCAGUUUGGUCUUGUAGUUCAGGCAGCAGAAGUGUCUGCUUGGGGAUCCCAAGUUUGGUCCUUGCUGCAUAGCUCAGGCAUGGCCUGUUGAGUGCUGGUCAGAAACCGUUUUCUCCAUCCUGCGAAAAAUCCUCCUGCCUUGGGACAGAGCCAAAACUUGCAAAGAUAUUGCAAAACCAGCUUUGUGCUGUGUGGGGUUGUGGUGGGUUUUUUGUCCAUGGAAACAUUUUGUUUCUAUUUCCACUAUUUUCAAUCUUGUAUUUUUUAAAAAGAAGCAAAUUUGUGAAACAGAAGAUCUAAAAUUUUUCUUUGGCAGACAGGACAUUUUGACAGUCAACUUUUUUUUUUUUAUCAGUUUCAUCAAAAUCCAAACAACUUCACUAAGUUUCAGUUUACUCAAAAUUCAUUUUCUAUCAGAAAAUUCCGAACUUUGUCCAGCUCUCAUCCAGUUCCACCAGCAGCUGUUCUCAGAGGAUUGGUUUCCUGCAAGAGGGGCUUAGAUGCCUUGGUGUAGCUGUGGAUCAGGCCCUGCCUCUACACUGGGGGAUGUGGGCUUUAGUGUCCCCUCCCCCUUCCUUAAGCACACAGGCCUUGUACACAGAGCUAAUCCCCCUGAUUAGCACUAGUUUGGCUUCUCCCUAAGUGGUGGUGUUACAAAUCCCCUGCCUUCCCCAGGAAAAGCAUUACUGGGGCUUUGCAUGAGGUUAGCUCCCAGAGCCACAUGCUGAUCUGGUCUCUUAGAGCCAGGCUGCCUAAAGGCAGAGUAAGUGCAGGGAGAGUGAGGCACUCUGGGAACUGGUUUCCCCCACUUAUCUGCCACCUUCCUCACACAAGCAGCAGCAAACCCUGCCUCCAGUUGAGAAACCAGGCUCUUUAUUUGCUGAUCACCUACAAAAGGGGAAGGCCUCUGAGGGGUUAAAUGGACACCGAAUAAAAAAAAUCAAGAUGGAAAUUCCUUGCCCCUUCCUCCGAAGCAGCUGUGUCUAGCAGCUUUUGGAGACAGGAUGUGGGGCUAGCUGGUCCCACUGGUCUGAGCUGCUGUGGCAUCUCCACUGUGGUUGCUGUAAGUCUGCAAUUUGCUGCAAUUACACAGGGAGAGUGUAUGCAGCAAAAUUGAAGGUAGAACAGAAGAAUACAGGGGCUUGGUUGUAUCGAUGGGAUUGUGAUGCUGGCAGACCAAGUGCCAGCUCAUGCCACAGUCCCCAUGCCUCAGUGGACAUUGGUUCCAGGCAUGUAUUUGUCAAUCUGCCUCACCUCUGUGUUAGUAUUGUGAAAAUAGGUAUUCGACUGGUAAGAAUAUGCGUAGUGUUUAGACUUUGAGUGCUUGUGAGUGGCUGCAUACAGCAAUCUCGCUCGGAGCCACUGUAUCCCAUAUUGUAAGGUCACGUUUAAGCAUUUGUCGUUUAAGCCUCUGUAACGGUAAAUCACCAGACAAGGGAGAGACGUUGGAUUAAUUAGUGUGAAAUGCUGGUGGCCAUGGAAGGGGUUAUGUCCUGCCUGACAAGAAAGGCCCAUCCAUGCCAGUCAGACUAGAGUGGAACAUUUUAAAGAGGACAAAAAACGUUGUUUACUCUCUGGUUCUCCCCUCCCCCUCCCCCCAUGAAGAUUAAUCCUGCAAGUGAAUUCCUCCCAUCAGGUGAGCUUGCAGCUCAAAGAAGUAGGGAAGGGAAUAAAAAGCCCUAACAAGGAGGAACUGUAUCUUCUUACUGCUUGGACUCUGGGGGGCAAGAAUUACCAGACAUAAGCAAAAGAUCCUGGGGUGCCAAGUUUCUAAUCUGCUGGGGGGUGCCUCCCCCACCCCCCCCCAGCUUCACCCAGGCCCACCCCUACUCCACCUCUUCUCCCAAGACUCCGCCACUGACCCACCUCUUUCCUUCCCCUUCCCCACCCAGUUCCGCCUCCUCCCCCGAGCAUGCUGUGCCCUCGCUACUCCCCCCAGCCCCUCCAGAUGCCACGAAACAGUGCGGUAGGCACUGGGAGGGAGGGGGAGGUGCUGAUUGGUGGGGCCUGCUGGCAGGCAGAAAGCACGAGGGGGAGGUUUUGGUAGGGGGGCUGCCAGUGGGUGCUCAGCACCCCCCAUCUCUUUCUAGGGGGCCCAUUGACUGUUCUGCCCUGGGGUGGGCCUGCUUAUUGUAGAUACUUCUAUUACCUUUUUGACCUUGAGAUUGGAACUCACUUGUGUGUAUCUGUUUUCCUGCUUUAACUUUGUAAAUAACACUCAUUUCCUUUUCCUGUAUAAUAGUUUAUUAUAGGACUGGCUACAAGUAUUGUCUUUUAGUGCAGUGGAUCUGGGGUAAGUGACUAGUCCUGGGGACCUGAAUAUUGUUGUGAUUCUUGGUGUAUAGGACCAUCUAUCACAAAGGUAAGCUUAUGUGCAUGGCAAGACAGACCAGAGUACUCGAGGGGACUGUCUGUGACUCCAUGUUUAGGCUGUCGUGGUGUGUGAGGAGUGCACACUUGAUAACUGGUUGGCAAAAUCGGAGUGCAGAACCCCUUGCCGGUUUGGGAUUUGUGCCCUGGUUCUUAGCAGUCUGGCCGAAGGCUGGUACUCAUGCUCCUGAGACCCACAGGACAGCUUGACAGGGAUCAAUAUACGUUCUCUUGAGACGUGGCUAUAAGAGGUUGCUAUAAUAAGCUGGUCCUAUCCAUGUGCACAAGAUCCAGUUGUAACCCUGAUCCUUAUAAAGGACUGCAGCAUACCAUUGCAGCAUGCUGGCCCUGUCUGUACCUGCACGAUCAACCCCUGUUACAAUCCUCAUAUUUUCAAUACUGUAACAGACUGGUCUCAGCCAUGCAUGAGCAAACCAUGUUAUCGCCCUGACUCGGUGUGGGGUGGAUGCUUGUGUGGCCGUUGGCCAGCUCAUUGGCUGGUAUAAAUUGACACACACACCCUUGACACCAAAUCUGAUUUACAAUGGCUGAGGAGUUAGUCACCAUGCCUAGAACCAGAUAAGCAAACCCCACACUGCACUUAAAGCCCCCAUUCCUCUCUAGUUGCUAGCUAGGUAAUAGGCUGGGAUUCAGGAUGCCUGGGUUCAGUUCCCAGCUCUGCUGCAGACUUCCUGUGCAGCCUUGGCCAAGUCACUGCCAAUUCUGUGCCUCCAUUUCCCCAGCUGUGAAAUGGGCUGGUAAAAGACUCCUUCUCUUGUUUACACUGCGGCAGGGACGACUCUUGCUAUGGGUGUGUGCAGUGCUGGUUGAAGGGGCUGAUCUCAGUAGGGGCGUGCUAACAUAAUGCAACUAAUUGACAACAGGUUGGAUCAAUUAGGAGGCCAGAAGUGAUGGACGCAACUGUGGCUGAACUGAGGCCUCCUAUGGCCACACAAUACAUCAAUGGAAGCCUUAAGGGGAGACUGAACCGCUGAGGUGAUGGACACAAGGGGGGGGGGGUGAACUGAGGCCUUGUCAGCCACUGGGUGGGUGGCAGUUAAGCCGGCGAUGGUCCCAUGAGGAGGCUGUGAGACACUGGGGAUGAAUUGAGGCCUAGGUGAUGAGCCCUCACCAGGCAGAAAAAACAAGUGUGAUUGGUCGGGGGGAAUCCAUGUCCCUGAGUGGAACGGAGAUGGUGCUUCCCAUUGGGGUGAAAAUGUCCUGCUGCCUCAGAGCUGUUUGCUGAGCUUGCGCACUUGCCUCUCACGUGCCUCAAAGGCUAUCUUGGUGUCCAUGAGCUCGCUGAGGGCCUUGCGCAUCUCCUCCAUCUCGUGCUCGGCCUGCUCAUAGUUUUGAGCCAGUUCCUUGUUCUCCCGCUGCAGCUCCUCCAUGAUCAGCUUGAUGUCUUCGUUCUGGCGCCGGCAGUGGUUCUUCAGCUGCUCCGCCUCAGCCAGCAAGGUCUCCACUGUCUUCACCACUGACUCGGUCUGCUCCCUGGACAUGGCUGGGGCGGGAAGGAAAGGCAUCGUGUGAGCUCUGUUUCCUGGUCAGACUACAUAUCCCAUGAUGCACCAUGGUCUCCCCUCAUGGUUUCCACUGGCCAUUGGAUAGUAUUUGGAGCAGGAGCAGCUACCCCAUAUGCAUGAAAGUGACACUUCUUCCGAUCAUCCUGCUGUAUCUCUGAGCUAGCCAGCGUGCCCAGAAAACCAGGUCUCUUCAGGAUAAUGCUAAAUCCUCUUCCUGCCUGAGAAUGAAGAUAUAACUUAUUGGAAACUGCUCCCACCCCACACCAAAGGGCUGCUACCGAGAAUUAUGGUAAGUGGAUUGGUGGCUGCCAUGUUUUGUGCUAAUUUGACAGUCACCCUUUUUUGGCAGCACCCCAGGGAUCAAACCAGGGACUUCUAGAGACCAAAACAUCAGCUGCUACAGCUUGAGUUAAAGAAUCAAAGCUCCACAACUAGAGGCUGUAACAUAAGGUUACCAUAUUUCCUCAUUUUUAAAAAAGAAGACACUCCAUGGGGCCCUGGCCCUGCCCC